GGAAGGCAUGCGCAUCCGGGCAUGCGGCUGGGCUUCAAACCCAGCAGGGGGCGUCGAUCGCUCCCUGGUAGGUUCGACUCCUGCUGCCUUCCGCCA
This 96-nucleotide transfer RNA is filed under the name Stenotrophomonas maltophilia. RNAcentral describes it as "tRNA-Sec". It matches the Rfam family "Selenocysteine transfer RNA". The record is from RNAcentral. RNAcentral also lists the same sequence under 17 other names. Lineage: Bacteria; Pseudomonadati; Pseudomonadota; Gammaproteobacteria; Lysobacterales; Lysobacteraceae.